This 1896-nucleotide unclassified non-coding RNA is filed under the name uncultured fungus. RNAcentral's name for it is "sequence contains 18S rRNA gene, ITS1, 5.8S rRNA gene, ITS2, 28S rRNA gene". The stretch from base 788 to 1896 matches the Rfam family "Eukaryotic large subunit ribosomal RNA", at positions 1 to 961 of the family's 3401-position model. The record is from RNAcentral. Lineage: Eukaryota; Fungi.
GGAAGGAUCAUUAACACGUGAUUUCUCACGUUUUUUCCAAAGUAGUGAACCGUUACCUACUGUUGACAUCAAGGGGUGAGCAUGGAAUGGUGUGAGUGUAACAGCUCUUAGUGCUUGCCUUGAACGUUCGCGUUGUCUGUGUGGAGACGUAAUAGUCUUGCAUCAUCCUCUAGCGUUCAAACUUGGUCGUUGAUGGUAGGCUGAAAGUUUCGGCUGUGUGGCCAGCACCUUGGCUUUGCAGUUCGGAGCGCCUAAACUAUUUACUGUGUAAUUUUUAUCUGAUUAUGUACGAUCUUUUGAAUUCCGAGUGCGUUUAACAAAUGUGCUUGUUGAGUUUGACUGAGAGUCACCAAACUUAAUACGAAACAACUCUUAGCAACGGAUAUCUUGGUUCUCGUAACGAUGAAGAGCGCAGCGAAAUGCGAUACGUAAUGCGAAUUGCAGAAUUCAGUGAAUCAUCAAAUUCUUGAACGCAACUGGCGCCUCCGGGUUUCCCUGGAGGCACGUUUCUCUCAGUGUCGGUUUCACUCUCUCCUCAAACCUAAGUCACAUUAGACUAGAGGGAAAAUGAGCGUUAUGAUGUUACAAUUGUAUCGCUUGAAAUUCAAUGAGUUGGUGUCAUGCUGGUUGGUAAUUCUUCGGGAUUGCCGCUGCUAACAACUUGGUAACAGUGAGUAAUUCGUCUUCGGAUGAUACUUAAUGUUAUUGACUGCUAGUGGUUCACUGGUAUGCUGCUAACGAAACCUGCAAAAGUUAAGACCUAACCGUCUCAAUUUUUUCAAACAUAUGACCUGAGAUGAAGCGAGGCUACCCCCGGAAUUUAAGCAUAUUAUUACGGGGAGGAAAAGAAACUAACAAGGAUUCCCCUAGUAACGGCGAGUGAAGCGGGAAGAGCUCAAGUUUAAAAUCGAUAUGCAUCAGUAUAUCGAGUUGUAGUCUCGAGACAUGCUGUCUGCGGUGACGUCGGUACAAGUACCUUGGAAGAGGUUAUCAGAGAGGGUGACAAUCCCGUCGCUGACCGACAGAUCGCCGCUUUCGACGUAUGUUCACAGAGUCGGAUUGCUUGGGAGUGCAGUCCUAAUUGGGUGGUAAAUUUCAUCUAAAGCUAAAUAUUGACGAGAGACCGAUAGCGAACAAGUACCGUGAGGGAAAGAUGAAAAGAACUUUGAAAAGAGAGUCAAAAAGUACUUGAACUUGUUAAGAGGGAAGAGCUGAAAACUAGUAAUGCCCGUGGUUAGUUUCCCGUCCUGACUGAGACCGGUGCGUAAUGAGAGUUCAACCCUCAGUGUGUACCGGAAUUAGUUAGGGCGGUCCCUCUAACUACGAGCGGGUCAGCAUCAGUUCGAAUCGUGGGAGAAAGCUAGGCGGAAGGUAGGGUCUUCGGAUCUGUUAUAGCCGUUUAGCCAUACUAUGGUUUGGACUGAGGAUGUAUCGGCGCUCCGUUUUACGGAGUGACAACUGUGUACCUCAUAUUUUCUGAGUGCUGGAAAACAAUGUUUUGCUGUGCUUGGUUGGUGUGACUGUGCUUGAAGUCGCUGCGCCGACGCGAUGCUGACGAAAUGGUUUUCAACUACCCGUCUUGAAACACGGACCAAGGAGUCUAACAUAUAUGCGAGUAUUUGGGUGGAAAACCCUGGUGCGUAAUGAAAGUAAAGAACACCUAGUGUUUGAGGUAGGAAUCCCGCAAGGGAGGCACUAUCGACCGAUCGUCACUUGUGAAAGAUUUGAGUAAGAGCAUAUCUGUUGGGACCCGAAAGAUGGUGAUCUAUGCCUGAACAGGGUGAAGCCAGGGGAAACUCUGGUGGAGGCUCGUAGCGAUACUGACGUGCAAAUCGUUCGUCUGAUUUGGGUAUAGGGGCGAAAGACUAAUCGAACUAUCUAGUAGCUGGUUCCCUC